RNAcentral lists this ribosomal RNA (468 nucleotides) under uncultured bacterium. RNAcentral describes it as "partial 16S ribosomal RNA". It matches the Rfam family "Bacterial small subunit ribosomal RNA", at positions 28 to 507 of the family's 1533-position model. The record is from RNAcentral.
GACGAACGCUGGCGGCGUGCUUAUCACAUGCAAGUCGAACGGAAAGGCCCUGCUUUUGUGGGGUGCUCGAGUGGCGAACGGGUGAGUAACACGUGAGUAACCUGCCCUUGACUUUGGGAUAACUUCAGGAAACUGGGGCUAAUACCGGAUAGGAGCUCCUGCUGCAUGGUGGGGGUUGGAAAGUUUCGGCGGUUGGGGAUGGACUCGCGGCUUAUCAGCUUGUUGGUGGGGUAGUGGCUUACCAAGGCUUUGACGGGUAGCCGGCCUGAGAGGGUGACCGACCACAUUGGGACUGAGAUACGGCCCAGACUCCUACGGGAGGCAGCAGUGGGGAAUAUUGCACAAUGGGCGGAAGCCUGAUGCAGCAACGCCGCGUGCGGGAUGACGGCCUUCGGGUUGUAAACCGCUUUCGCCUGUGACGAAGCGUGAGUGACGGUAAUGGGUAAAGAAGCACCGGCCAACUACGUG